This 482-nucleotide ribosomal RNA is filed under the name uncultured bacterium. RNAcentral's name for it is "bacterial SSU rRNA". It matches the Rfam family "Bacterial small subunit ribosomal RNA", at positions 28 to 526 of the family's 1533-position model. The record is from RNAcentral.
GACGAACGCUGGCGGCGUGCUUAACACAUGCAAGUCGAGCGGUAAGGCCCUUCGGGGUACACGAGCGGCGAACGGGUGAGUAACACGUGAGCAAUCUGCCCUUCACUCUGGGAUAGCCUCGGGAAACUGAGAUUAAUACCGGAUACGACCACUUCAGGCAUCUGAUGGUGGUGGAAAGUUCCGGCGGUGAAGGAUGAGCUCGCGGCCUAUCAGCUUGUUGGCGGGGUAAUGGCCCACCAAGGCUUCGACGGGUAGCCGGCCUGAGAGGGUGACCGGCCACACUGGGACUGAGACACGGCCCAGACUCCUACGGGAGGCAGCAGUGGGGAAUAUUGGACAAUGGGCGAAAGCCUGAUCCAGCAACGCCGCGUGAGGGAUGACGGCCUUCGGGUUGUAAACCUCUUUCAGCAGGGACGAAGCGCAAGUGACGGUACCUGCAGAAGAAGCACCGGCCAACUACGUGCCAGCAGCCGCAGUAACAC